GACAGAGGGUGCAAACGUUGUUCGGAAUUACUGGGCGUAAAGCGUGUGUAGGCGGUCUCUUAAGUCGGAUGUGAAAGCCCCGGGCGCAACCCGGGAAGUGCACUCGAAACUGGGAGGCUAGAGUACUGGAGAGGUUGGUGGAAUUCUCGGUGUAGAGGUGAAAUUCGUAGAUAUCGAGAGGAACACCGGUGGCGAAGGCGGCCAACUGGACAGAUACUGACGCUGAGACGCGAAAGCGUGGGGAGCAAACAGG
Molecule: ribosomal RNA, 253 nt
Filed under: uncultured bacterium
Lineage: Bacteria
Description: partial 16S ribosomal RNA
Rfam family: Bacterial small subunit ribosomal RNA
Source: RNAcentral